RNAcentral lists this transfer RNA (73 nucleotides) under Lachnospiraceae bacterium. Its description in RNAcentral is "tRNA-Asn". It matches the Rfam family "tRNA". From Rfam's summary of the family: Transfer RNA (tRNA) molecules are approximately 80 nucleotides in length. Their secondary structure includes four short double-helical elements and three loops (D, anti-codon, and T loops). The record is from RNAcentral. Lineage: Bacteria; Bacillati; Bacillota; Clostridia; Lachnospirales; Lachnospiraceae.
UCCUUGUUAGCUCAGUUGGUAGAGCGCACGACUGUUAAUCGUUAGGUCGUAGGUUCGAGUCCUACACAGGGAG